This 168-nucleotide unclassified non-coding RNA is filed under the name soil metagenome. RNAcentral describes it as "partial internal transcribed spacer 1". The record is from RNAcentral.
CCGAGUUAUACAACUCACUCCAAACCCCUGUGAACAUACCUAUAACGUUGCUUCGGCGGGAAUCCGCCCGGCGCCCUCGUACACCGGGAUCAGGCGCCCCGCCGGAGGACCCCACUAACUCUUGUAUUUCUUAUAGUAUCUUUCUGAGUAAACAUAGCAAAUAAAUUA